RNAcentral lists this non-coding RNA (242 nucleotides) under Peptoniphilus sp. RNAcentral describes it as "T-box sequence". It matches the Rfam family "T-box leader". Rfam says of the family: Uncharged tRNA acts as the effector for transcription antitermination of genes in the T-box leader family. The record is from RNAcentral. Lineage: Bacteria; Bacillati; Bacillota; Tissierellia; Tissierellales; Peptoniphilaceae.
GUAAAACCGAAAACGAAGAAUAGUAGAUGAAUUUGUAAAUGUAAAGAGAAUGGUGCAAAGGGUGUGAGUACCUACAUUUAUUUUCAUUGAAUGGACUUCUGAGGGCGGGAAGAAAUUCGAAAGAAAAGUAAUGCCUGACGGAACCUUACCGUUAUAUUAGGACCAAUAUGAUAGUAUUGGAUGAGAGAGUGCUAAAUGCAAAUUUGGGUGGUACCGCAGAAGUUAUGACUUUUGUCCCAUGG